Molecule: long non-coding RNA, 372 nt
Filed under: Struthio camelus australis
Lineage: Eukaryota; Metazoa; Chordata; Aves; Struthioniformes; Struthionidae
Description: lncRNA (ENSSCUG00000011567.1)
Source: RNAcentral
AUAAUCUUUUGACUUCAGAUAAUAUCGAAUACAAGAGACGAUCCCCCUGUACCGCCCUAGAGUCUAACAGAUUUUGAUAGCAAGAGGAGGUCAUUUGCAGACAGAGUUGAUUCCGGGUGAGCCAGUGACUCCAUGGUAACUCGGAGAAAUGCAUCUGCAGAGAAACGAGCUGGUGUUGCCUCCUCACGGGCAGGCACAAAUGCUCAUGUCAGUCUAUUAGAACGUGAUAGAAGUACUGAUCACUGCCUCUGCAUCUAAAUCCUUUUGAAACCAGGAUGACCUGCUGAAGAGGAUUUUGAGUGGAAGGCCCGUCACAAGACUCUUUCAAAUCCACAUAAAUAAAGCCCUUUACUGGCUUAAAAUGGCCCCUCA